This 288-nucleotide long non-coding RNA is filed under the name Ananas comosus (pineapple). RNAcentral describes it as "long non-coding RNA (ACOM_LNC022335)". Lineage: Eukaryota; Viridiplantae; Streptophyta; Magnoliopsida; Poales; Bromeliaceae. The record is from RNAcentral.
CUCCAAUUCCGAGUACUCUUUUCGAGAGUCUACGAUGGUCGCCAAGUAGGCCUUACAGCCGCCUUUGAUCAUCCUUUUCGCCCUCACCGUCGAUAUAGUGGCUGCAAAGCGUUUGCCCUUACACGCCCGGUAGACAAACUCCUCUUGGUUGGGUUCACGGAACGUGAUCACCCUUCUUUCACAAUCUAUAACCGCGUAAUACUUGGAGAGCCAAUUGAUCCCCAAGAUUACCUCGAAUCCCCACAUUUCUUUCAACACUAGAAGGUCGAUCGGCAUAAUCCAAUCGCC